UUGUGAAGGUCCCAGCGGAGGGGUAAAGAACUCUGCAAAUUGAGGCCUCUCUAACGAGUUGAUUCAAAACCUUCGCAAAUUUACUUAUUGGCUGAAUCGUAGGAUGCUCCAAAUUAUUCUCUAUUUUGGUGCUUCUGGAACCCUCAGCUAUAUAUAC
Molecule: small nucleolar RNA, 157 nt
Organism: Coffea eugenioides
Lineage: Eukaryota; Viridiplantae; Streptophyta; Magnoliopsida; Gentianales; Rubiaceae
Product: small nucleolar RNA snoR145
Exons: 1
Source: RefSeq, a predicted model, not a curated record